UGGCAAGCUCCUGAGAGAGAGCACCACUACUGUAUCUCCCACAAAGAAGUUACGGAUUGAAAACACAUGCAGGAACUCCACUGCCAGGGACAGUCAGGACUGCAUCAUCUGUUUAUCACUGUGAUGGCCAACUCAACACACCCAGGGAAUUACAGGUCCUUCACUGCCGACAAGAACAAAAGUGCCAUGCUCCUGUCAGAGCACUGCUGGCUUCUGCUGACUUCCACCAUGAAGGAGAUUGCCCCUCUGCCCAUGGCUCCAGGUCUCACCGUCCUCCCAGGCUCCCUCAGCCAGUGCAUUCCUCACCCUCUGGCAGGACCCCGUGCACACCGUGCCACCAAGCACCAUCAGGGCCAUGGGGACUGGGAGGUCAUCUUCAGCAGCCUUUGCAACAAGGGCAUUCUGGCAGCAGGCCCCAAUGCUGUGCUUGCCCACUGUCCUUUGGGCUGAAGGACCUGGAUGCCCAGGAUGGACAAUGGACAAGUGGAAUCAUCAGACCAUGCUGGCAUAGUCUGCAAAAGGCUGUGAGAUAUAACAAGCUUCCUCCUGGCUCCCAUUGCAAUGGCCAUCAUUGCAAUGGUCUUGGCUCCUCCCCGCUCUCCAUGUUCAAUUUCAACUUUUUGGAUUGUUUAUGUUUUAAAUCCCUGAUUUCACAGACUUCAUGGCCUUUUCCAAGCAAUCUAGCUUUCAUAUACCUGCAUGGACACACUCAAGAACACACAAGGGGUUCCUGCCUUGCUUCUUCUGUCCCACAUGAGGACAACUCAGGUGUUCUAAGGUGAUCUAAGACAUUGACAACUCAGCACCUGGACCAUGAUGCCUGCAAAUGACUGUGGGGAUGAGGGAAUUUCCUCUGACAGGACCCCCAAGUUCCCCCAGCUAAAGUGACUCCCUCUGAAGCACACUGGCUUUCCAAAUGCACACUGGCUGAAAGAGCCACUGACACAAACAGAGGCUACACUGUCACCAUGUGCCAAGUGUGCUGGCAAGGCUGGGGCCAAGCUGGGCUGCAUGAAUGGCAGCGCUUCCUCUCAAAUCCUGGCAGUUGGGAGGGCUCCCUUCGCCCCCACCCACAGCCACCCCAUGGCCCAGCCAUCUGGGAGGAGCUGGUGCUGCUCCAGCAGCUGCUGGAGACCAUGCAUCGCUCAGGGAAUACGCUCUGCCAGCCACCAGGAAUAUGCUCCGCCAGCCAAGGGCCGCACUGGUCUCCAGGAUCCCCUCGCAGGAGCCAUGCAGAUUGUUCCAUGCAGAUUGUUCCUCCCUCACUGUAAGCUCGGGCUGCUGAGCAGUCUGCAGCUGACUGGGUGGAGGAUCUCAGUGGACCUGAGAAACUUCCUCCUGCAAUCAGUGCUAACAAAAGGUCUCUGUCAAGCCAUGUAGAGCAGAGAAAUGCUGUUGAGCGUGCAAUGCUACUAUUAAGGAAUUAGCACGACUGGAAAAUUAUUUUGGCACCAAGCUUCAGCAAUGUUGUCUGGAAUAGCAAGACAGGCAUUCAGCUCUACACCUUCUUCUGAUGUUCAUAAGCAAUCUCUGCCACUACCCAUUUUUCUAUUCAAGAGCUGGUCAGGGGAGGCAGAGAGUCAGCACAGAUAAUAUAGGCAAAAUUAAGUAUAUUUGCUAAGGCUCUUUAAACUGCAGCACUUAAAAUAGUCCUCAAGGUAAAAACUUAACCUUACUGGAUUUAGGAUGCAGUAAAAUUUUAAAUGGGCACAUGCUUUUGACAGAAUUGUUGCAAAAGAGGUUAUGUGGGCUUAUAUCAGUUGAGAUUCAUUAUAAAUUUUACUCUUCUGUGUUUUUCUAAAUGAUAAAAUCAGAUAAAAUCUUGAAUGCUGUUCAGAAUUACUGUGACAUCAGACAUAAAAGGACACUGUUGAUCUUGCAAUCUUGUCAAAACUCUGGCCAAGUUGUCAGAUUUUAGUCAAAAAAUUAGUUGUGAGUUAUUAAUAAUAGCAAGUCAGAGGCUGAAUCUAUUUUUAAAUGGUCUUAUUAAAAAUUUCACUCUGUUUCUAAAUCAAAGAGAAGACCUCAUCUAUUUCCAGACAUUUCUCUGAUUAGUUUAUCAGAAACAUCAUCUAACUGUAUUAACAUAGCUGUCAAAAGGGGCUUCCUUAAUAAAAUGUAACCUUUAUCAAAGGGGAAAAAAAGAAAAUUUUAUUAGUUUGUUGACCAGGGCAUUUCUACAGAUGGCAUCUGGUUUACUGGUUUAUGUUCUUGCUCAGAUCUGACUCUUGUCAUUGUACCAUUUGUAUAGUUUAAUUUUGCUAAUAUGAGCAUCUGAACUGAUUAUGGAGAGAUACUAAAUGGGAAGCAUAUAUGAAAGAUCUUAUUAAACAGCAUUCCUGCAUGAUCUAAAACAGAUGUAGUAUUGUAAAACAAAAAAGCCUUUAUUAAGCCUCCAAAGCUGUCUUUGUCCAUCUGCAUAAACUGGCAGGUUGCAUGAAGACCUUUUUGUUAUUUAUAAAUAGAAUCAUGCCUGAAAUACAACCACACAUCCAAACAAUCUCUAAUUUAGGAAGGGUUAAAGUCCUUGGUCUUGAUCUUCAUCUUGCAGCUAAAGUCUGACAUUAUUAUCUGAGGUUUUACUGCUUGCUUCCUCUGUUUCUUCUUGUUAUUUGUUUUUUUACAAGUCCACCUCCAGUUAACCCUCACUCUUUUAUUCAUGUCAUUGGCAUCUUGUAUGUGCUACACUAGAUAAAUGACAUCCUCAUCAGACCAUGAAAUGCACAUGCUCAAAAGCCCCCGAGGCAUUUCUCUUAGCCUUUACCCCCUCAGCAUAAGAUUUGUCCUCCAUUGUCUUUCUCUUACAGAUACAAUAUAAUCUUAUCUCUUAUAAAUACAAUUCUCUUAUCAAUACAGCUCAUUAUGCACUGUUGGCUUCAGCAAUUACGUUGUAAAUCCAGAGCAGGAAGGCAUCAAAUGACCAACCCUGUCUUGUCUCCUGCUUGGAUGUGCAAUACCUCCAGAAUACCACAAGCUUCUCCCUGAAACCACCUUUUACAAGACAAAGCCCCUCUGGAUGAAUUCCGCACCUGAAUAAUUGUGCUCUAGGUGCAGAUACCUCUGCCAAGUCCAAAAGCAGCAGUCCUACACAGAAACCUACACAGAAGCAUACAAAACCCACAUCCAAAGCUCACAGGGUGCAGCAGGUCUGCAGGCAUUUAUCCUUUUGUGCAGUGCAGCGUGUGGCUGGAUGCCUGCCCUUGGGUACCCACGUCGACCAGUUUCAGCCUUCACCCACUGCACCAGCUCUGAUCUCCAAGCCACCCUGCUCAGGAAAGCCAUGCCUUUUUCAUGCAGAUGUCACUAAAUAUGAAUUUAAGAGACCAAUAUAGGGCCAAAAAGAUGUGGGUUUACAGGUUUUCAGAAGUUGUAAAAUUAAGAGGUGUAACUCAGUUCAGUCAAAAUUUCCUAGAGCUCCAGCUGAAAUAUAAUUUCUUUUUUGUCCCCUUUUUCUGAGUGGUCUGUAAAAACUGAGUCCUUAAAUGGAGUUAGAGCAUCAUAUUCAGUGGCUGUGAUGAAACCCUUUCCCCCUCAAUAAAUUCAGGGGUUUUUCUCCCUGUUUCAUUGUGAUACACAGAGAUCUCAGCUCCCCACAUACUUGCAGUAGGGUGAGGCCAUGCACAAUCCAGUCUGCUUGCUGAGGAGUGAAGAUUCAUGAUCCUGUGGUAACUUAUUUUAUGUUGAAACCUGGAAGUUUUCUUUAUAAAGUAUUUUCACUUUAUAAAAUACUGUGUGAGGUAGCCACUAGUCCAAUUUUAGCAUCUGAAAUGUGACAGUGUUCUAUACAUGGAGAUCUCUAGGAAGAAAAAGUAUUUAAAAAUAAAAUUGUAAUGCCUCAUAUUCAUGGUUCAGUAGUACAGACACUUCUGGCUUCCUUAGCUAAAUAGCAUUGAAAGGAAGGUAAAUAGCAGUGUUCUCUUCCUAACCCAAUUUCAGGGCAUUACUGUGACUUGGAGAUUUAGUCCCUGUUCAUUUCUGAAUUACUUUAGUUGUAAAGCAGAGGCUCCACCAUUGUUUCUGCAUUUAUCAGUAGAGGAGAUAGGUUGGUGUCUGUGUGCCCUGGGGCCCAGGGAUGAGCACUGCAGGGCAAAGGAAGGGCUUGGAUAAGAAAUGCCAUUGUUAUCAGAACCUGUGAUCUUCAUCUUUAGAUGUCAGCUAAAGCACUUGAUAUUCACCAUAGUCAGAGACCACAGCAUUAUAUUGUGAUGUUUAAAUAACUUUUACCUUUCUCCUGUAUGAAAAAAAAAAAAAGAAAAAAAGAAAAAAAGCUGCAGUGAGGUUUCCUCAACAAAUUGCAUUUAACAGCUGGCAGUGGGCAGGCAGCAUUACUUACUGUGCUGGCCAGAGAUGUUGCCUCUGCUUAACAUAAAACAGCACCAGCAAUCCUUACCCUGAGGAAUCACUGUUUUUAAUCACAAAAUUUAUGAAACUGUAAAAGUUGCUGAUACACAUCAGCAGUUCCUGCUGGUGGGAAAGGGAUUGGCUCUGGCACUUCUUGAGAUGGAUAUAAUUCACAAGCUUCUUCCAGUAUCUGGUGCCAACUGCACAGAAGAUUUAUGUAGUGUCAGUUAAAAAUGAGGUUGUUAUCACUGCCAUGUUUAUGAAAUAUUCUCGCCUUUACAAUGACUAUAUUCUCUUAAGCAAGGUGAGGAAAUGUCUGAGAACCUCACAUUUGGGUGUUACCCCUCCUUCCACAAACCACGUCCAAAUCAAUCCAUACAGACUUUUUAACACUAUAUUUCUCUGAUUGUGCAAGUAGGAUGAGAAAGUCUUUGGUUCCACAAAUACAGGUUGAUUGUGUUUUCUGGAGGGUUUUUUUCUAAUUGUUGUUGGGCUUACAUGAUUUUUUUGUGUGUGUGAUGUAUGCAUGCAUGAAGGAAAAUUUGGGACAGAUGUGCUCUUUUAAAAAACUCAUACAAAUAAAUUAUUUAAAUAUAAUUUUAAUGCUGUGUAGUUACCAAAAAGACUUUCUUGUACCUCAAAACACAGUACCUUAGUCCUUUCAUGACUGAGGCUUUCAAUGACAACUCCAUGGAGAAGUCUCCUGGUCUCUGUUCCUCCGGUUUGUCCUCAGACGUGCUGGUACUCAUACUCUCUUCUACAAAAAGUGAUCAGUCCCCAUUACUUUUCUCUCCAUCUUUUCAUUUCUGCUCUCUGUCUAUCAUUACAACAGCCUUUUUUGGGGUGUCUGUACUGCUUUUUUGAGAUAUUGGACUUUUUGUAAGGCCAUUCUGCACAUUUCCUUGCAUAAACUGAUCUACUCAUAUUUUCAAACCUCCUCCUAAUGGCAGUUCCCAACAUUGUCUUGCGUAUAUAUUUUCAGUCCCUUCUGUUCCAGCCUUGUUCUCCUCUUUUUCCUGAUCUUUGUAGGAGAUGGUUUGCUGGCAUGAAUAUGGUUAAAGCAUAAUCCCCUACACAGCCACCAGUGGAUAGAGCUGUAAGAGGUGGCAAGAUAUCUUCCUCCUCUAAUGCAAAUAAAUAUUUACCUAUCAUCUUCUUUCCAGUAUUUCAACAUACCCUUAGAAAGCCUUCUCUAAUAUCUACAUGUUAAAACUUAGAAGUUUUCUCAUUCCAUCAUACUCUUUCCUGCCUACAAUGACAGGUGAUCUCUUCCUGUCUCUCACUUGCCAUAUGAUUUGCCAUGUGAUUCAGUGAAUAUCACACUUCCACCUACCCAGUUGGAAGGGUUAACUGUGAGGAUCCUCUCUUCCUCCACAGCCUUAUCUUGGUUUUGAACUGAGAAAAUCCUAUUCUGGUCCGAGCAAGUGUGUGUUCCAGAGACACUGUUAUUUUGUUAUCUUUUCUCUGAUCUCCUGCAAAUGUAUUUAUAUCUAAAAAUAAAAGGCAUAAAAUCAAACAUGCUAGGAGGCUUCUCUGUAAUGACCAGAGUCCUAUUUUUUAGCCUUACAUAUAGAUCUCCUGAGUUUGUUUCUUUCAGCUUCCAUUUCUUCCCAUGCUGUUCUACUAACCAUGUUACUACUAUAACUUAUCGCCCUGCUGCAUGGCAUGUACUGACAAAUCCAAAACUACAAGAAUACACAAGAUGGUUCCUCAUUCAUACCUUUGUUGGGAGGAUGAGAAAAUACACACUACUCUUCUUGUUCUGUACACUGUCCCUGUGAAAAGAGUGUUUUCCAAGGUUACCCCAAGGCUACAGUUAAGCUUGCAGCCUGUAAAUCUGAUUUGUAAACUUAUUGACUAUCUCAAUUUUCAUUUUUUUCAGUGCAAAACAAAAUAAA
This is a long non-coding RNA of Motacilla alba alba, 6239 nucleotides long. RefSeq lists it as uncharacterized. Lineage: Eukaryota; Metazoa; Chordata; Aves; Passeriformes; Motacillidae. The record is from RefSeq and is a predicted model, not a curated record. The transcript is spliced from 3 exons.